RNAcentral lists this transfer RNA (74 nucleotides) under Salmo salar (Atlantic salmon). It matches the Rfam family "tRNA". Rfam says of the family: Transfer RNA (tRNA) molecules are approximately 80 nucleotides in length. Their secondary structure includes four short double-helical elements and three loops (D, anti-codon, and T loops). Lineage: Eukaryota; Metazoa; Chordata; Actinopteri; Salmoniformes; Salmonidae. The record is from Rfam by way of RNAcentral.
GCCCCAGUGGCCUAAUGGAUAAGGCCCUUGGCCUCCUAAGCCAGGGAUUGAGGGUUCGAGUCCCUUCUGAGGUG